Medicago truncatula (barrel medic) is the source of this 962-nucleotide long non-coding RNA. RefSeq lists it as uncharacterized. NCBI's taxonomy places the organism in Eukaryota, Viridiplantae, Streptophyta, Magnoliopsida, Fabales, Fabaceae. The transcript is spliced from 3 exons. The record is from RefSeq and is a predicted model, not a curated record.
CAGAAUCAUUAGAAAACCCUACUCACAAGUCACAAACCUAUCUAUACAAAUACAACAGUACCUAAAGCUAGCUAGUGCAUUAUUAGUGAUUCCCCAACAGCACAUGUACUUUAUGCCUUUGGUUAAUUUCUGAAUGCUCUUUUUUACAUGGUGGAGUAGCUCUUCAACUGCAAUUCCUACAGGAUAUACACAAGAGGCUCUUAAACGUAUCCGCAGAAAAUAGUGCUUUCCUGACCGUACCAGAAUGUGGAAUGUCAUUUCCGCAUGUGCUCAUGUUCAAGCUAAAUGGGAAUCAAUCAAACAUAUGCAAAUGAAAAUGGACUUGGGUGGUAUCUAUCUGUCAACACUCAAUAGUGCCCUACUUGAUUGAUCAGCCAUGUCAAGUAUGGAACGUAAUCUCACAGUAAGAGAUGCAUUACAAAAUUUGAUAUGUCGGUCAUGUAUGGUCAAUGAUUUUGCUCCUUGACAUGCAUGCUAAUAUUGUUUGUGCCAUAAACCAAUCUUAUUUCUAGUGCAGGUUUCAUACAGAUUGCUAAAGUAUAUGACUUUUUUGAUAGGAUAAAUAGUUAUUCGUACAAAAUGGAAUCUAAAAGCAUUUUCUGAAUAACACCCUACAUUAAAUUUUUCUUGCCAAUAUAAUUUUAGUUCCUUAUGCAGUGACCUCAUUGACCUGUGUGGUUCAAAACAAAGGAGCUACGAUCCAGUCGUUGUUUUUGGACAGGAGCAUAUUGAAUCGGUUUAUUUCAGAGGUUGAGCAAUCCACCGGGUGCAUAGAGUAAUCUUUUACGUAUCAAAGAUCAUUUGGGCUGGCAGGAGCUUAUAUCAAACAUUGGGCUUGCAAGAGUUUAUACUUUAGAAGUUGUCUGAAAGAGCGUUCACAUAUUUUUUUAAGUAAAUCGACAUUUUAGUCCUCAAAAUUGUAAAAGUCAAGUAUUUUUAUCUUUUAAAUUUGUAAAAUAACA